Molecule: ribosomal RNA, 253 nt
Filed under: uncultured bacterium
Lineage: Bacteria
Description: partial 16S ribosomal RNA
Rfam family: Bacterial small subunit ribosomal RNA
Source: RNAcentral
UACGGAGGGUGCAAGCGUUAUCCGGAUUUACUGGGUUUAAAGGGUGCGCAGGCGGAUAUGUAAGUCAGUGGUGAAAUCUCUAGGCUUAACCUGGAAAUUGCCGUUGAUACUAUAUAUCUUGAAUGUUGUGGAGGUAAGCAGAAUAUGUCAUGUAGCGGUGAAAUGCUUAGAUAUGACAUAGAAUACCUAUUGCGAAGGCAGCUUACUACGCAGAUAUUGACGCUCAUGCACGAAAGCGUGGGGAGCAAACAGG